GUAGGGUGCGAGCGUUGUCCGGAAUUAUUGGGCGUAAAGAGCUUGUAGGCGGUUUGUCGCGUCUGCUGUGAAAAUCCGGGGCUCAACCCCGGACUUGCAGUGGGUACGGGCAGGCUAGAGUGUGGUAGGGGAGACUGGAAUUCCUGGUGUAGCGGUGAAAUGCGCAGAUAUCAGGAGGAACACCGAUGGCGAAGGCAGGUCUCUGGGCCACUACUGACGCUGAGAAGCGAAAGCAUGGGGAGCGAACAGGAUUAGAUACCCUGGUAGUCCAUGCCGUAAACGUUGGGAACUAGGUGUGGGUCUCAUUCCACGAGAUCCGUACCGCAGCUAACGCAUUAAGUUCCCCGCCUGGGGAGUACGGCCGCAAGGCUA
This 372-nucleotide ribosomal RNA is filed under the name uncultured bacterium. RNAcentral describes it as "bacterial SSU rRNA". It matches the Rfam family "Bacterial small subunit ribosomal RNA", at positions 527 to 896 of the family's 1533-position model. The record is from RNAcentral.